This 76-nucleotide transfer RNA is filed under the name Dehalococcoidia bacterium. RNAcentral's name for it is "tRNA-Arg". It matches the Rfam family "tRNA". Rfam says of the family: Transfer RNA (tRNA) molecules are approximately 80 nucleotides in length. Their secondary structure includes four short double-helical elements and three loops (D, anti-codon, and T loops). Further hydrogen bonds mediate the characteristic L-shaped molecular structure. tRNAs have two regions of fundamental functional importance: the anti-codon, which is responsible for specific mRNA codon recognition, and the 3' end, to which the tRNAs corresponding amino acid is attached (by aminoacyl-tRNA synthetases). tRNAs cope with the degeneracy of the genetic code in two manners: having more than one tRNA (with a specific anti-codon) for a particular amino acid; and 'wobble' base-pairing, i.e. permitting non-standard base-pairing at the 3rd anti-codon position. The record is from RNAcentral. RNAcentral also lists the same sequence under 1 other name. Lineage: Bacteria; Bacillati; Chloroflexota; Dehalococcoidia.
GCCCCUGUAGCUCAGAUGGAUAGAGCAGCGGUUUCCUAAACCGCAGGCCUGGGUUCGAGUCCCGGCAGGGGUACCA